GAUGAACGCUGGCGGCGUGCUUAACACAUGCAAGUCGAACGGGAUCCAAGGAGCGUUGUUCGUUUUUUGGUGGGAGUGGCGAACGGGUGAGUAACACGUGAGUAACCUGUCCUUUUCUUUGGGAUAAGCUCCUGAAAGGGUGUUUAAUACCUUAUGUUCUGUCUGCCUCUCAUGGGGGGGGUGGGAAAGAUGUUUUCGGUGAAGGGUGGGCUCGCGGUCUAUCAGCUUGUUGGUGGGGUGAUGGCUUACCAAGGCUUUGACGGGUAGCCGGCCUGAGAGGGUGGUGGGUGAGAUUGGGACUGAGAUGCGGCUCAGACUCCUGCGGGAGGCAGCAGUGGGGGAUAUUGCACAAUGGGCGCAAGACUGAUGCAGCGACGCCGCGUGGGGGAUGAAGGCCGUCGGGUUGUAAACUUCUUUUGCUCUGAACAAGGCGCAUCUGUGGGGUGUGUUGCGUGUAGGGGUUGAUUAGCGCCGGCUAACUACGUG
This 486-nucleotide ribosomal RNA is filed under the name uncultured bacterium. RNAcentral's name for it is "partial 16S ribosomal RNA". It matches the Rfam family "Bacterial small subunit ribosomal RNA", at positions 28 to 507 of the family's 1533-position model. The record is from RNAcentral.